CACGUAGUUAGCCGGGGCUUCUUAGUCAGGUACCGUCAUUUUCUUCCCUGCUGAUAGAGCUUUACGUACCGAGAUACUUCUUCACUCACGCGGCGUCGCUGCAUCAGGGUUUCCCCCAUCGUGCAAUAUUCCCCACUGCUGCCUCCCGUAGGAGUUUGGGCCGUGUCUCAGUCCCAAUGUGGCCGUCCACCCUCUCAGGCCGGCUACUGAUCGCUGCCUUGGUGGGCCGUUACCCCGCCAACUAGCUAAUCAGACGCGGAUCCAUCGUAUACCACCGGAGUUUUUCACACUGCCCCAUGCGGAGCCGUGCGCUUAUGCGGUAUUAGCACCUAUUUCCAAGUCGUUAUCCCCCGGUAUACGGCAGGUUAUCCACGCGUUACUCACCCGUCGCCACUAACUCAUAAAUCACUAGGUUUCAAUAUGAGUCCGUUCACUUGCAUGUGUUAAGCACGCCGCCAGCGUUCAUCCUGAGCCAGGACUCAAACUCUA
This 489-nucleotide ribosomal RNA is filed under the name uncultured Lachnospiraceae bacterium. RNAcentral's name for it is "partial 16S ribosomal RNA". The record is from RNAcentral. Lineage: Bacteria; Bacillati; Bacillota; Clostridia; Lachnospirales; Lachnospiraceae.